CGGGGAGUUGGCGAGUGGUUACGCCACUGGUUUUGGGAACCAGACGCCGCGGGUUCGAGUCCCGCCUCCCCGA
RNAcentral lists this transfer RNA (73 nucleotides) under Spirochaetaceae bacterium. RNAcentral's name for it is "tRNA-Pro". It matches the Rfam family "tRNA". Rfam says of the family: Transfer RNA (tRNA) molecules are approximately 80 nucleotides in length. Their secondary structure includes four short double-helical elements and three loops (D, anti-codon, and T loops). The record is from RNAcentral. Lineage: Bacteria; Pseudomonadati; Spirochaetota; Spirochaetia; Spirochaetales; Spirochaetaceae.